GUUCCUGCAAAAAUCCAAUAAUGACCUUUGACAUUAGAAGCCUUUAUUUUGGAAGCGCUUACUGAUACUAUUUGGUCUUUAGCCCAAAUAAAUUGUCAAAUAUACAUGGGAAAAUUGGAUGUAGUAAAUGAACUGGGACAUGUUGACUGAGUGAUCACCAACUCAGUUCUUAAUCAACAAUUCUGUAGGGCUCUGAGAAGUGAAAUAAAACAAUGUACUAUUAUACUUACGAUUAAGUGGAUCCAAUACAAUGCUAUGAGAUUUGUGUUUGCCUAUGCCAAAAUCAGGGUCAUAACCUUGUUGAUCAUUUAUCACCGAAGAUGACUGUGCAACACCAAAAAGAGCCUUCAUUAGCUCACUACUUCAGAGUAAUGAACAAGCUUACAUUUUCAUUUGGAGCUAGGAUUUCUGGUCCUUUUAGGCUUUGGCAUUUAUCAUCUGUAGGAGGAAUGCACAAGUUGGAAGCUUGUUCAGGUUGACUUUGUAGUUCUUCCACCAUGUUUGGUUGUCGUGUGCUUGAUACUGAUUUGUUGGAUUUUUUAAUGCCUGCCUCUGCUUCUUUGGACCUGUUGGAUCUGACUCGCUCUUCUUCCUUGGAUUGACCAAGUCUGUUAUGCCUUUUCUGCUUCACUUCUUGCAACAUGGAAGUCUGAUGUUUCAGUGGGCUUGCCAAGUUGUGAGGAUUUCCACUUCUUCUUGUCGGUAGUUCAUCAAUCUUUCGAGGAGCCAUAGCUUUUUGAACUUUUGUAACUUUUACUUUCUGCACAGCUGUUAGAUGAACAGGUUUCUCUUCCAUUACUGGUGGAAUGGUGGUUAUAUUUUUUUCUUUCAUUACUUCA
Long non-coding RNA from Hevea brasiliensis (rubber tree), 839 nucleotides. RefSeq lists it as uncharacterized. The record is from RefSeq and is a predicted model, not a curated record. The transcript has 2 exons. Lineage: Eukaryota; Viridiplantae; Streptophyta; Magnoliopsida; Malpighiales; Euphorbiaceae.